AUUGAACGCUGGCGGCAUGCUUUACACAUGCAAGUCGAACGGUAACAGGCCGCAAGGUGCUGACGAGUGGCGAACGGGUGAGUAAUGCAUCGGAACGUGCCCAGUCGUGGGGGAUAACUACUCGAAAGAGUAGCUAAUACCUCAUACGAUCUAUGGAUGAAAGCGGGGGACCGUAAGGCUUCGCGCGAUUGGAGCGGCCGCUUUCGGAUUAGGUAGUUGGUGGGGUAAAGGCUCACCAAGCCAACGAUUUGUAGCUGGUCUGAGAGGACGACCCGCCACACUGGGACUGAGACACGGCCCAGACUCCUACGGGAGGCAGCAGUGGGGAAUUUUGGGCAAUGGGCGCAAGCCUGAUCCAGCAAUGCCGCGUGCAGGAAGAAGGCCUUCGGGUUGUAAAAUGCUUUUGUACGGAACGAAACGGCUCUGGUUAAUACCCGGGGCUAAUGACGGUACCGUAAGAAUAAGCACCGGCUAACUACGUG
Molecule: ribosomal RNA, 482 nt
Filed under: uncultured bacterium
Lineage: Bacteria
Description: partial 16S ribosomal RNA
Rfam family: Bacterial small subunit ribosomal RNA
Source: RNAcentral